Molecule: ribosomal RNA, 1431 nt
Filed under: Microtrichalus sp. UPOL MD0097
Lineage: Eukaryota; Metazoa; Arthropoda; Insecta; Coleoptera; Lycidae
Description: SSU rRNA
Rfam family: Eukaryotic small subunit ribosomal RNA
Source: RNAcentral
AGGCGCGCAAAUUACCCACUCCCGGCACGGGGAGGUAGUGACGAAAAAUAACGAUACGGGACUCAUCCGAGGCCCCGUAAUCGGAAUGAGAACAAUUUAAAUCCUUUAACGAGGAUCAAUUGGAGGGCAAGUCUGGUGCCAGCAGCCGCGGUAAUUCCAGCUCCAAUAGCGUAUAUUAAAGUUGUUGCGGUUAAAAAGCUCGUAGUCGAAUCUGUGUCCCGCGCCGCCGGUUCGUCGCUCGCGGCGUUUAACUGGCGUGUCCGCGGGACGUCCUGCCGGUGGGCUUAGCCUUUUCAUUAAGGCGGCCCAAUCUUAAUCCCGCCGCGGUGCUCUUCACCGAGUGUCGAGGCGGGCCGGCACGUUUACUUUGAACAAAUUAGAGUGCUUAAAGCAGGCUAAAACUUCGCCUGAAUACUUCGUGCAUGGAAUAAUGGAAUAGGACCUCGGUUCUAUUUUGUUGGUUUUCGGAACCCCGAGGUAAUGAUUAAUAGGAACGGAUGGGGGCAUUCGUAUUGCGACGUUAGAGGUGAAAUUCUUGGAUCGUCGCAAGACGGACAGAAGCGAAAGCAUUUGCCAAAAACGUUUUCAUUGAUCAAGAACGAAAGUUAGAGGUUCGAAGGCGAUCAGAUACCGCCCUAGUUCUAACCAUAAACGAUGCCAGCUAGCGAUCCGCCGACGUUCCUCCGAUGACUCGGCGGGCAGCUUCCGGGAAACCAAAGCUUUUGGGUUCCGGGGGAAGUAUGGUUGCAAAGCUGAAACUUAAAGGAAUUGACGGAAGGGCACCACCAGGAGUGGAGCCUGCGGCUUAAUUUGACUCAACACGGGAAACCUCACCAGGCCCGGACACCGGAAGGAUUGACAGAUUGAGAGCUCUUUCUUGAUUCGGUGGGUGGUGGUGCAUGGCCGUUCUUAGUUGGUGGAGCGAUUUGUCUGGUUAAUUCCGAUAACGAACGAGACUCUGGCCUGCUAACUAGGCGUAUUUCCGACAUCUCGAAGGCCCGCCGGCCUGGUGUGCUCGUCACGCCUUGUCGCGCGCGGUUUUUACUGUCGGCGUACAAACAAUUCUUCUUAGAGGGACAGGCGGCGUCUAGCCGCACGAGAUAGAGCAAUAACAGGUCUGUGAUGCCCUUAGAUGUUCUGGGCCGCACGCGCGCUACACUGAAGGAAUCAGCGUGUCCUCCCUGGCCGAGCGGCCCGGGUAACCCGCUGAACCUCCUUCGUGCUAGGGAUUGGGGCUUGAAAUUGUUCCCCAUGAACGAGGAAUUCCCAGUAAGCGCGAGUCAUAAGCUCGCGUUGAUUACGUCCCUGCCCUUUGUACACACCGCCCGUCGCUACUACCGAUUGAAUGAUUUAGUGAGGUCUUCGGACCGGCACGCGGUGGCGUUUCGACGUCGCCGAUGCUGCUGGAAAGAUGACCAAACUUGAUCAUUU